RNAcentral lists this ribosomal RNA (1389 nucleotides) under Microbacterium testaceum. RNAcentral describes it as "bacterial SSU rRNA". It matches the Rfam family "Bacterial small subunit ribosomal RNA". Lineage: Bacteria; Bacillati; Actinomycetota; Actinomycetes; Micrococcales; Microbacteriaceae. RNAcentral also lists the same sequence under 1 other name. The record is from RNAcentral.
AGCAGUCGAACGGUGGAGCCAAGCUUGCUUGGUGGAUCAGUGGCGAACGGGUGAGUAACACGUGAGCAACCUGCCCUGGACUCUGGGAUAAGCGCUGGAAACGGCGUCUAAUACUGGAUAUGAGACGUGAUCGCAUGGUCGUGUUUGGAAAGAUUUUUCGGUCUGGGAUGGGCUCGCGGCCUAUCAGCUUGUUGGUGAGGUAAUGGCUCACCAAGGCGUCGACGGGUAGCCGGCCUGAGAGGGUGACCGGCCACACUGGGACUGAGACACGGCCCAGACUCCUACGGGAGGCAGCAGUGGGGAAUAUUGCACAAUGGGCGGAAGCCUGAUGCAGCAACGCCGCGUGAGGGAUGACGGCCUUCGGGUUGUAAACCUCUUUUAGCAGGGAAGAAGCGAAAGUGACGGUACCUGCAGAAAAAGCGCCGGCUAACUACGUGCCAGCAGCCGCGGUAAUACGUAGGGCGCAAGCGUUAUCCGGAAUUAUUGGGCGUAAAGAGCUCGUAGGCGGUUUGUCGCGUCUGCUGUGAAAUCCCGAGGCUCAACCUCGGGCCUGCAGUGGGUACGGGCAGACUAGAGUGCGGUAGGGGAGAUUGGAAUUCCUGGUGUAGCGGUGGAAUGCGCAGAUAUCAGGAGGAACACCGAUGGCGAAGGCAGAUCUCUGGGCCGUAACUGACGCUGAGGAGCGAAAGGGUGGGGAGCAAACAGGCUUAGAUACCCUGGUAGUCCACCCCGUAAACGUUGGGAACUAGUUGUGGGGACCAUUCCACGGUUUCCGUGACGCAGCUAACGCAUUAAGUUCCCCGCCUGGGGAGUACGGCCGCAAGGCUAAAACUCAAAGGAAUUGACGGGGACCCGCACAAGCGGCGGAGCAUGCGGAUUAAUUCGAUGCAACGCGAAGAACCUUACCAAGGCUUGACAUAUACGAGAACGGGCCAGAAAUGGUCAACUCUUUGGACACUCGUAAACAGGUGGUGCAUGGUUGUCGUCAGCUCGUGUCGUGAGAUGUUGGGUUAAGUCCCGCAACGAGCGCAACCCUCGUUCUAUGUUGCCAGCACGUAAUGGUGGGAACUCAUGGGAUACUGCCGGGGUCAACUCGGAGGAAGGUGGGGAUGACGUCAAAUCAUCAUGCCCCUUAUGUCUUGGGCUUCACGCAUGCUACAAUGGCCGGUACAAAGGGCUGCAAUACCGUAAGGUGGAGCGAAUCCCAAAAAGCCGGUCCCAGUUCGGAUUGAGGUCUGCAACUCGACCUCAUGAAGUCGGAGUCGCUAGUAAUCGCAGAUCAGCAACGCUGCGGUGAAUACGUUCCCGGGUCUUGUACACACCGCCCGUCAAGUCAUGAAAGUCGGUAACACCUGAAGCCGGUGGCCCAACCCUUGUGGAGGGAGCCUA